This is a non-coding RNA of Ictidomys tridecemlineatus (thirteen-lined ground squirrel), 69 nucleotides long. NCBI's taxonomy places the organism in Eukaryota, Metazoa, Chordata, Mammalia, Rodentia, Sciuridae. The record is from Rfam.
GGGGUUGUGGCUCAGCGGUAGAGCGCUUGUCUUGCACACACGAGACCCUGAGUUCAAUCCUCAGCACCA